This is a long non-coding RNA of Microplitis demolitor, 567 nucleotides long. RefSeq lists it as uncharacterized. The record is from RefSeq and is a predicted model, not a curated record. Lineage: Eukaryota; Metazoa; Arthropoda; Insecta; Hymenoptera; Braconidae. The transcript has 3 exons.
GAAAAAUUUAGUUGCUCUAUAAAACUUUAAUAAACUUACAUGACUCAAAAGUGUGUGGCCAAAAUAAUUUUACUCAGAGUAUUAUAAAAAAAAAAAAAUGUCUAAGUUGAUGCUAAUAAUUUUCAUAGGAUUGUUGUCUGUUGUUGUUAUGACUAACUCACAACCAUCAAGUUAUUGUCUUGGUUGGGCAUCUGUGUGUUCUACGAUAAAUGAUAAAUGUUGUCAGAAUCUCGAGUGUCAAGGAUGGUUACUCGGCUCAUGUGGUAUGGCACCAAUUGAAAAACAGCAACAUUUUUAUACAUAACUCCAACAAGUAUAAAAAUCAAACACUCUACUAUUCAUCAUUAGAAAUAAAAUUUACUCUAUUAUUAUUGCUGAUAAGCUCUAUUGUAUCUAAUUUUCAUGUACUAAAUUAUUAUUUUUAUGUAUAUAUAUGUUUAUUCAUCAUUUUUUUUUUUUCUAAUUUUCUCUAUGAAUAUUUAUGUCAAUAUUAAUAAUAAUUAUUAUAUAAAUAUAUAUUUAUGUAUGGUCAUAAUAAAAAUUAAGUAAAAAAUAUUGUAUUACUCA